Long non-coding RNA from Astatotilapia calliptera (eastern happy), 5420 nucleotides. The record is from Ensembl. Lineage: Eukaryota; Metazoa; Chordata; Actinopteri; Cichliformes; Cichlidae.
GAUUAAUUCAAAAUUGAAGAACCUGCUCAGUUAAAGAAGUCUUGACAGUACUAACUGAGAUAGUAGAUCAACAGAAAAUCUGACAUAUUAAGGUGCAUCAGCGUUGACUGCACUUUUCACACCUUUACACAUAUUUUGACCUAUUUAAAGUAACAUUUAUCACAUUGUUUAGUUUCUUUAAACAGAAAAAAUCACAUUGUCACAGAUCUCUCAUGUUAUUUUUUUUCCUCAAAUUUAAAGUCAAAGGAACAUCUAGACAUCGUAUUUUUUUCCUCAGCAGCAGUAAUAAAGUUAAGUAGAACCAGAAAUAACUUCUGGGGUUGUAGAAUGUCAGCCUGUGUCUAGUGCAUCGCUAUUUAAAGCUCCCAUUAAGAGUUAAACCUUGGUUUAGUAAUGAGUGCUCCAGAAAUACAUCAUUUGAAGAGAACAGUUCAGUAGUUACAGAUUUACAAGUCUAGCCAAACACUGAAAUUCAUCUGUACCUUCACCUUUGAUGUUUUACUGGAGUUGCAUUAUCAGAUUAUUGCUGUUGUGUAAAUAUAUAUUUACGUUCUGUCCUGAGUCUAGAGUCAAACUAUAUAUAGGUAGCUGCUUUGCCAACAUGUUACUUAAGGAUAUUAGCGAGUGAGUGUUUAACCCCAUUGACAGACAUAAGGCAGACAUGGUUGUCUCUCUAGUUUAAUCUUCUUACAACUCCACCUCACUAUUAGAGGGAAUGUGACACAAUAAUUUUACUCUCAAGUGUUGUUACGUGGUGUAAUAACACUUAUCGUUGUGUUCUUAAUCCUCAGUCACAGUUAGAUGUCAUGAAGUUAAACAGGUUUCAUGCGGCUACAAUGGCGCCCACUCCCAGCCACGUCAAAUCAAGAGAGGAUAAGGGGGAAACCAGGGUCCACCAGAAGCUUCGCCGUGCCUCUGCAGAUGACAACAUCCGCGCUAAGACUGCGAUCGCAGAGAAUCGCAUCACCACCAUCCCAGAGCUCACAGAGACACUUGAGAAGAGGCUCUGUCUAAAUGAUAAGAAGACCACGUCUCUGAAGAAGGACGAUACGUUGUGCCUGAUCUGUCAUGAGGACAUGCGUAAGAAUGGGAGGGGAGUGCCACAUUGUACACACCGCUUUCAUAAAGAGGCAGCUCGGAGGUUAGAGCAGUGUCGGCCCCGAAGCAGCAGUGAAGCAGCUGUUUUACAGGGGAGGAAGCUCUAUGAGGAGAGGAGGAGGUCUGCAGAUGGACAGAUUUCCACGGAGAAGGAGCAGCACACACUCCAUCGUCAACAUUCCCUGAGGAGACAUCGCUGAUAUUGUUUUCAAGAAGGGGAAAAUGCAUGAUUUGCAGUGAAAACAUCAGGAUUUCUCCUGAACUUUUACUACGAUGUGACACUGAAAAAUCAGGGCCUCAAAUCCCCUCUGGGCCAGAGUUUUAGGUCACUUUUGGAAUAAUUGCAACUUCUUCUCUUCAGUGUGCAAACACAGAGUUAAAAAUGUUUGAAAAGGGUUAGAGUUAGAAAAAAAAAAUUGAGACCGAGUUUAAAGGUUUGAACUCAAAGUUUUCUGCUUUAAAACCUCAGUAUGACAAACUGUACUGCACCAUGACUAUGUAAACAGGGGUGUUGCUAAAGUGUUGGCUUGGGGCCUGAAAUUUAUUAGGUCCACCUGGUGCCCCAGCUUAAUCUUUAUUAUAUAAAUGCAAACAUGAGUGAAAAUAACAGGGGGAUGUAAGGUGUCCAGUUACAUUUUUGCUGUAAAAACACUGUGGUACUCCUCAAUACAUUAUUGUAAAUAUAACUAUGUUAUAUAAUGUUAUAUAAUAUGAUAAUACACACUAAAAGCUCUUCUGCUCAGUUAUGGAUGUAUGACUCCCCCAUGACAUGCCUCACAGUGGUUUGAUCCACUGCUUGUUGUUUCCUGACUCUAGUGCUGCAUUCUGCAAAUUUUGGCAUUGAUUCAAUACUAACUAAAUACAGGGCCAGUAUUACCGAUACCAUUUAACCAAUGAAAGCAGCUUAUGUAUUGAAGAUGAGAUGAAGUAUCAUCAAUAUACAAAGUCUGAACACACUUUAAUGAAAUCACUGUGAUUUUUCCUUUCACCAAAACAAUUCAGCUGUGUGCCUGUUUCUAAAGCACUUUGGAUCGGUUUAUGUUGGAUCAGUUUAUGUUGUUUAAAUAAAUAAAGUAGGCAUGACGGCCAGCACAAAAAGUUUCAGGGAUUUUUCACUAUUGUUUUUCACACAUUUCACUAUUGGUUAGAAACAAAGUAUCAAUCCUAUUGCUCUAGUAUCGAUUCAACACUAGUACCAGCAUUGGUAUCCAUGGAUACAAGUCUGGUCAAAGUUAAAAUCACCAUAACUCAGUGGAUUUUCAAACAAUUUUCAAGUGGUUUCGUUUGGCAUUUUUUUCUGAUUUCAUUUGGUGUUUUCUCCUUUUCUGUGCUCUACACCACCCUUACUGGUUCUUGGGUCCCUCUGUGCCAAAACCAUAUAAAAUUUCCUGGAAACGCCUCUGUAUGUAACGGUCAUUGUAUUCAGUUAUUAGACUUACAGCACGUUAUUGGAUGAGAAGAUACCUCUAUGAUUAUACUAAUUAAAUGGUUUUAAAUAUCACUUUAGAAUAAAUAUACUUUAUAAUCAAUAGAGAAUAUUUACAGUUUAUAAAAGCAUUUCAUCAGAACUACAGUGAGUCACUUUAUAUACUGUUGAAUCUGUUGACAAUCAGAACUUGUAAACAUGUUAACAUUUUGUCAAAGUGAAUAUAAUAAAAGUCAAUAAAAAGCAAGGCACCACAUUAUUAACUGUAAAGAAAUUUAUUUAAAACCUUCUUUGACUCGUAGCCUUUGAAACAGAGAAAGCUGCUCAAAUAGGCAGCAACACUGUCCCUUCCAGCUAAGGGUUAGGGUCUGUGAACGUAGAUCCUGUUGCUCAUGCAUCAACAUGUUGGAAAUGACCUCCUGGCAUCAGUUGAAAAUAUCAAUGACUGCAUAAAUGAUACAUGAUACAGAUCAUAGCAACAAUGAUGCAAUGGUGUGUUUUAAAAUGUGUUUCAGUGCAUGGAGCAGUGGCUAUGGAGGAAAAGGAACUGUCCCACAUGCCGUGUCUACGUAUCCAUGCUAAAGCCCCUCUAUUGGCCUUCUUGUCGCACCACCGUCCCAUAAUGGUCCUGCACCUACACUUGAAAUGUCUGCAUGUAUAUGUGACCCCAAGACCUCCUCCUCUCCAUCUCCACGCCUCGUUCUUUCUGCAUGAACACCCUUUGCAAAACUGUCUUCUGUCCCUGAAGGAAGCAGGAAAUGAGAGUGAGGAUAUCUCAUGUGAGAGACACGAGCUGUCAUUGGACGGUGAUUAUUUAUAUAAGAGCUCUUGUAAAUUAAUGCACUAUCAGGGGAGGAUUAGUCUUUCUUGUUCUUAUUUUGUUUUUGUCCAAAAAUGAUUCUAAACAAUUUCUAAUGACAUGCAGUUAGGUGGAGCAAAUAUCCUCAAAACUGACAAUAUUUUUUGGUAAUGAACAAAAUAAUCUGCCUGAAUUCUGCUGAGUUUGUGGUUGAGGUUGAAUAUUUCCAAGUUCUGAAGUUGAACUUAGAUAUAAAAUCACAUCAUGAAAUAUAAACAAACAACUCAUAAAUUAGUCUUCUUACAGCAGGUAGCAUAUGAAUGUGUGCAUCAGUAGCAGUCGAAUUUCAGGGCUCAUAAGACCUCCCAUCUGAGUUCCACUGAGCACAUCUUUGGCAAGCUGUUUCCCCUCAGUUUAAAGCUUUUAAAUGUUAAAAGUUUAAUGCUAAGCUGACUAGUUUCUGACUUUGGUUUUAUAUUUAGCACAGAAAUAUGGGGAACGUAAAUAUUUUCCCAAAACCAUUCAUACACACAAAUAUUCUAUAUAUUUUUUGACAACAUUUGACUGACAUCUUAUAAUAAUCACAAGUUCCUGAUAUAGUUUUAAUUAAAAAUCUUGAAAACAGUCUUAAAAAAAGCUGAAAACUACAGAGAAUCAGCUCUAAGACAGGUGACAAAUUAAAGGAAAACCAUCAAAACCAGUGACCCACGCACUGAAGGGGUCCAGUGGCUAUGUUUUGGUGCACUGAUUUGAGUCCAGACAGCGUCACUGUAUAGCGAUACAAACUUUGUCUGACUGGUUACUUUUAUGCUACAAUGAAAGAUGCCACCUUUUACUCGACACAAGGGGUUACUGAAUGCUUUUAUUACUCAGAACAUGAUUUUAAGUUAAGCAGUGCUGUACACCAUAUGAGAGAAUGUCUUUUGGAAUGAUAAUGUUUCAGAGGCUUCAGUCGGUGCUAAGGUGCAUUAGAAUUGCUCUGUCAGCACAUGGCAGCUCAAUACCUUAUUGAGAAGCAUGAAGUUGAUUUUCCUUCUUUGUCACCUGUCAGUAUGGGUUUUUUGCAUAUUCUGCAGAAGGUGGUUGGUGUAUUUCAGUCAAUGCUGAUUACCCAGUAGAGAAAUUUCAACAGCUGCACUAGCAAUAGCUCUACUCUGCUAUUUUGAAGGAUUGAGCAUGCACAUUUAUUUAUUGCCUGCAUUCACAAUGCUUUCUCUUAAGUAAGAAAACUCCUCCCCUGCAUCAGUGUCAUAUCUUAUCGUACAUCUGCACCGUCUUCCUGCCUUACCCAAUUAGCUUUUGUUUUGCAUGUAAAGGUUUUUGCGUGUGACUUCUAUUCGAUCGUUUUCAAACAUCUCUCUUGUGCCGUGUGUUUUGCACUUCCAUGUGAGAAGUUUACAGUAUGUACACAAAGUCCAACUAAAAAGAGCUGGCCUAUGUAUAUAUUUAGCCAUGUAAAUAUGCAGUUAUAUAAAGGAUAGCUCUGUAGUUAAUGAAAAUUAGAAUGCAAUUUUAAAAUGCUGCUAUAGCAGUUCAUUUAACCAGCAAAUGCUCAUAACUACCAUUAGAUUUAUGCACAAAGACACAAAACCUUUGCACUCUGCAGAACAGUUAAAGGCUGUUGGGUUCAGUAUGCUUACACCACGGAGGUUAUGUGUUUAAUUACAUUUUCCAACCUUGUGCUUAAAAAGCUGAAGAACUUUUUAUGACUCUCAGCAGCACCAACUUCCAGCUGCUGUGUUCACUGUUUCCAUUUCACUGUUGUUGUUGUUUUUGCACUCUUGAAUAAAAACACAAUGAAAUGAGUGAAACACCUGUUCUGUAUCUCUUUGUUUAUCUCUUGAUCCCUUUUGUUGUUUCCUUAUUCUAUCCGCCUUACCCAGGUUAAUGAAACAAGUAAAAACAAGUGUUCAGGUAGUUAGGUUUUUCUCCUCUGGUUAUUUUCUGUUUUACUUUGAAGGGUUGUUUUCUGUCCAUCUUUCCCUGACCCUUUGAUUGUUGUAACCUUCUAAGUAUGCUCGCCUGUGUCUCAUCCUCCUCUGCCAGUUAUCCCAAGUGUCAGUGUUGCUCCUUUCUGAGCUGCCUGCUUGAUUCACC